RNAcentral lists this ribosomal RNA (376 nucleotides) under uncultured Anaerolineaceae bacterium. RNAcentral describes it as "bacterial SSU rRNA". It matches the Rfam family "Bacterial small subunit ribosomal RNA", at positions 992 to 1382 of the family's 1533-position model. The record is from RNAcentral. Lineage: Bacteria; Bacillati; Chloroflexota; Anaerolineae; Anaerolineales; Anaerolineaceae.
UUGUAGGGAACUGAAAAGGGACCGACCCUUCGGGGAGCCUAUACAGGUGUUGCAUGGCUGUCGUCAGCUCGUGUCGUGAGAUGUUCGGUUAAGUCCGCUAACGAGCGCAACCCUCGUCGUAUGUUAUAUGUGUCAUACGAGACUGCCGGUAAAAAGCCGGAGGAAGGUGAGGAUGAUGUCAAGUCAGCAUGACCUUUAUAUCCAGGGCUACACACACGCUACAAUGGUCUGUACAAUGGGUAGCCAAGCCGCGAGGCGGAGCCAAUCCUGAAAGCAGGCCUCAGUUCAGAUUGCAGUCUGCAACUCGACUGCAUGAAGCCGGAGUUGCUAGUAACCGCAGGUCAGCAAUACUGCGGUGAAUACGUUCCCGGGUCUU